RNAcentral lists this ribosomal RNA (424 nucleotides) under uncultured bacterium. RNAcentral's name for it is "bacterial SSU rRNA". It matches the Rfam family "Bacterial small subunit ribosomal RNA", at positions 207 to 623 of the family's 1533-position model. The record is from RNAcentral.
AAGACCUUGCACUUUUGGAGCGGCCGAUGUCUGAUUAGCUAGUUGGUGGGGUAAUGGCCUACCAAAGCUUCGAUCAGUAGCUGGUCUGAGAGGACGGCCAGCCACACUGGGACUGAGACACGGCCCAGACUCCUACGGGAGGCAGCAGUGGGGAAUUUUGGACAAUGGGCGCAAGCCUGAUCCAGCCAUGCCGCGUGAGUGAAGAAGGCCUUCGGGUUGUAAAGCUCUUUCAGCCGGGAAGAAAAGGUUGCGACUAAUAAUCGCAAUUCAUGACGGUACCGGAAGAAGAAGCACCGGCUAACUACGUGCCAGCAGCCGCGGUAAUACGUAGGGUGCGAGCGUUAAUCGGAAUUACUGGGCGUAAAGGGUGCGCAGGCGGUUUUGUAAGUCAGAUGUGAAAUCCCCGGGCUUAACCUGGGAAACU